Molecule: ribosomal RNA, 494 nt
Filed under: uncultured bacterium
Lineage: Bacteria
Description: partial 16S ribosomal RNA
Rfam family: Bacterial small subunit ribosomal RNA
Source: RNAcentral
GACGAACGCUGGCGGCGUGCCUAAUACAUGCAAGUCGAACGGUGAGGCGCCUUGCUUGUUGGUGGGAGUGGAGGGGUGGAGAACGGGGGAGCAACACGAUAGUAACCUGCUAACACUGGGAGGAUAUCGGCAAGAAGGUGCGAAUAAUACGGGAUAUAUUGGACCGGUUGCUUGAUGGGUGUGAGAAGGUUUUGGUGUCGGUGGGAGAUGGGCUCGCGGCGUAUCAGCUAGUUGGUGGGGUAAUGGCCUACCAAGGCGGUGAGGGGUAGCCGGCCUGAGAGGGUGGACGGUCACACUGGGGCUGAGACACGGCCCCGACUCCGACGGGAGGCAGCAGUGGGGAAUAUUGCACAAGGGGCGCAAGCCUGAUGCAGCGACGCCGCGUGGGUGAUGGAGUCCUUCGCGUUGUGAACCUCUUUCGCCAGUGAAGCAGGCCUUCCUUGUUUGUGCGUGGGUUGACGGUAGCUGGAUAAGAAGCGCCGGCUAACUACGUG